This 4600-nucleotide long non-coding RNA is filed under the name Homo sapiens (human). RNAcentral's name for it is "non-protein coding lnc-NELFA-1:1". The record is from RNAcentral. Lineage: Eukaryota; Metazoa; Chordata; Mammalia; Primates; Hominidae.
CUCAGGUGCGGGGAGGCGGUCGCAGACCCCAUCCUCGGCGCUUCUCGAACCUAGCCCCCUUCAGUUCUGCGCGACCUCCCAGCACCACCCCGAGGGCUGCCGGAGCAGAGCUUCCCCGACAUGCGCGGGCGGGACGGGGCCAGGGGUCCAGGCCUGGGGACCCGCAGUCUGCGUUGUGCGGUGGAGUUGGGGCCAGCCGGGCAGCUGAGGUCACCUGAAGGCCAGGAGGGGCUGGGCCUGCCCGUGGACGUGGGAGUGAGGCCGCAGCGCCCUGGUGGGGUGGGGAGGGGCGGCUGAACUGGUCCACAGCCCCGUCCGCCAGAGAACGGGCCCUGGAGAGGGGCAGGGGACGGGGUGGGGGCGUGGGGGGGAGGGGAAGCCAAGCUGGGAAGGCGCCCCCUCAGUGUCUGGGGCCCGCUGUCAGCUUUUCAACCUAAAGGAGAAAACAGGCAAAACGAAUAGAAAUAGUUUGUUGGGGCCAAGUUUGAGGACUGCAGCGUGGAAGGACAGACUCAGGUUGGUCUGAAUGCACGCGCUCUCAUUCGCAGCAGUUGCAAGUGCGUUUUUAAAGGAAAAAUGAAGACGCAGCUCCUAAAUUCACCAAGAAUUUGCAUUAAAAUGGCAUAAGCUAUUGAUUGGUGUACAUUAUUUGUCACAAAUUCCAGGAACAUGAAGAUGACGCUGAGGCGGCCAGGCGGACACUAUAGGAAAGAAAAGAAAGAACAAAAUGCCUUCCAGCAGUUGCCCCGGGCGUGAGUGGGGAGGCGGGACUGAGGCCCUGUACUCAGGUGUCUCUGGGCCAGAUAAUCUUUGAGAAUCCCACAUAGCUCCGGCUAUUUUUCUUUUCUCAUUUCUCGUGUUUGAUCAAAAAUUUUCUCUUCUCAAAGCAGUGAUGAUCGACAUUCUAGAUGUAAGUUUUUCUGCUGGGAAGGCUCAUUCCCGGGCCAUCUCACCCCGCAUGGGGGGAAAGAGGACAGGUGCGGUGGGCGCUUAAGAACUUCGUGAGGCCUCAAGGCCAAGGUUGAUUGGCACGGGGUCUGUCAGGCCGUCUGCUAUGAAGGAGCCACGCAUACCGGAUGGCUUCUGAGCAUCUAGCUAGCAUCCUCGGGGUUUUUUGGUUGACUUUGGACAUCUAGAAACACAAAGCCUAAUCAAUUUAAGAAUGAAAAAUAUGGGCCGGGCGUGGUGGCUCAUGCCUGUAAUCCCAGCACUUUGGGAGGCCGAGGCGUGUGGAUCACGUGAGGUCAGGAGUUUGAGACCAGUCUGGGCAACAUGGUGAAACUGCGCCUCUACUAAAAAUACAAAAAUUAGCCGGGUGUGGUGGCAGGCGCCUGUAAUCCCAGCUACUUGGGAGGCUGAAGCAGGAGAAUCACUUGAACUCGGGAGGCGGAGGUUGCAGUGAGCUGAGAUCGUGCCACUGUACUCCAGCCUGGCAACAGACUGAGAUUCUGCCUCAAAAACAAGAAAAGAAAAAGAAAAAAUGACACAAAUAAGGGCAACUAUUAACAAUUUGAAAUCUAGAACUGAAGAGUGCUUCUAUUUUUGAAGGUAACCAGAUACCUAUUUUGUCUCCUUCUGGUCCUGGCCUGAAGAACAAGAUGUUGAAGUUCUCCAGUGAUGGAAACGACCUCUCUGGCGAGGCUGCCUGGUGUGGUCCCAUCUAUUGUGGUUGGAGGAAGUCCUAUAUUUGAUGCUUUUCUCAUGAAAUCUCCAGGUUGGAGACCUUGAACUUUCAUGUCUUCAUCUCCUGAGAACUCGCCGUUAACAGAAUCCUUAAUUAAUUUAGAAUGUGCAGUGAGAAGCUCUAUAGGGUCUCGGCAAUAAUGAAGAAUAUCGCCUUUAAGGGGAGCUGGUUUGGAGGCUCCUUCAUCCAGGCACAGGGCCUUCCUGGUAUUAUUUCAAAGAGAGAAAGCUGAUGUUUUCCAAACAGGGCAGAACCCCAGUUCAGCACCACAGUGGAAACACCUUAGGCCAGGGAGUGUUAGAAGCUGGUUUCAGCAUUGCAGAUGGGUUUUCUAUUAUCCCACCUGUGCGUUCCACAGUCUGGAAGAUGGAGGAGGGCUGCAAGCACAAUGGGAAUGCCAAUCCCUCCAAUCCCAACCAGCUUUCACUAUGCAAGGUAAGAUGUCAAUCAAUCUUUUUUCUUUUUUCUUUUUUCUUUUUUUCAGAGAGAGACAAGGUUUCUCCAUGUUGUCCAGGCUGGUCUGGAACUCCUGGGCUCAAGCGACCCUCCCACCUCAGCCUCCAAAAGUGCUGGGAUUACAGGCAUGAGGCACCAUGCCUGGCCAAUAAAUCCUUUUUUUUUUUUUUUUUUGAGAUGGAUUUUCGCUCUUGUUGCCCAGGCUGGAGUGCAAUGGCACCACCUCUGCUCACCACAACCUCCACCUCCUGGGUUCAAGCAGUUCUUCUGCCUCAGCCUCCCGAGUAGCUGGGAUUACAGGCAUGUGCCACCAUGCCCGGCUAAUUUUGUAUUUUUAGUAGAGACAGGGUUUCUCCAUGUUGGUCAGGCUGAUCUCAAACUCCCAACCUCAGGCGAUCCGCCCGCCUCAGCCUCCCAAAGUGCUGGGAUUAUAGGCAUGAGCCACCGCGCCCAGCCCAAUAAAUCUUUUAUAACGUCUCACAGUUUACCCCAUUCUCUUUCUUUCCACAGCUUUCUAUAUCCACUCUUAUCUAUCAUUCGUUUUUAUCCCUUCAACUAAACCUUUAAAAACCUCUAGACAAAUUUACUCUUCCCAUAACAAAAACCACAUUUUCAUGCCUUCUUUAUAAUCUUUACCAAAGACAUAACCUAUUUUUCUUACAUGCUCUGUAUUCAGAAUUGUUUCUUUUACAUCUAGUAGUUUUAAUUAUAUAUAUAAACUACAGUGUUUUUUGAGACAGGGUCUCCCUGUUCUUGCUCAGGCUGGAGUGCAACGGUGUGAUCUUGGCUCACUGCAGCCUCUGCCUCCUGAGCUCAAACAAUCCUCCUGCCUCAGCCUCCCAAGUAGAUGGCACUACAGACCUGCACCACCACGCCUGGCUAAUUUUUGUAUUUUGUGUAGAGACAGGGUUUUGCCACGUUGCACAGGCUGGUCUCCAACUCCUGGAUUCAAGUGAUCUGUCUGCCUUGGUCUCCCAAAGUGCAUUAACUACAAUUGUAAGUCAGUAACUUCAAGUUUAGUGAAAAACCUAGGAAGGAAUUUUGAACUGUUUUAUAUCAGCAUUUUUAGAUGGAAACCAUUUCUUUUUUUUUUUUUUUUUUUUUUUUUAGAGUCUUGCUCUGUCGCCCAGGCUGGAGUGCAGUGGUGUGAUCUUGGCUCAGUGCAAGCUCCGCCUCCCAUGUUCAUGCCAUUCUCUUGCCUCAGCCUCCCGAGUAGCUGGGACUACAGGCUCCCACCACCACGCCCAGCUAAUUUUUUUGUAUUUUUAGUAGAGAUGGGGUUUCACUGUGUUAGGCAGGAUGGUCUCGAUCUCCUGACCUCGUGAUCUGCCCAACUCAGCCUCCCAAAGUGCUGGGAUUACAGGAGUGAGCCACCGCACCCGGCCCAUUUAAUAAUUUUUUAGGAAGAUGUUUCCUCAAUUUUUUGCUUAUUAACAGAUCUAAAUAUUUUUAACUUUUCUAUACCAUAUAAAAAUACAAUGCCAACGUAUAUCAAUUUAAAAUUGUGUUUAAUGAUUGUUUCAGUAUUUUAACUGACUUAAAAAUAACCUCAGACAUGUUGUGGCCGGGCGCGGUGGCUCAUGCCUGUAAUUCCAGCACUUUGGGAGGCCGAGGCAGGCGGAUCACGAGGUCAAGAGAUCGAGACCAUCCUGGCCAACGUGGUGAAACCCCGUCUCUACUAAAAAUACAAAAAUUAGCUGGGCAUGGUGGCGGGCGCCUGUAGUCCCAGCUACCCAGGAGGCUGAGGCAGGAGAAUCGCUUGAACCCAGGAGGCGGAGAUUGCAGUGAGCUGAGAUCGUGCCACUGCACUCCAGCCUGGUGACAGAGCAAGACUCUGUCUGAAAAAAUAAAAUAAAAAUAAAAAAUAACCUCAGACAUGUGAUUGAUAUGGUUUGGCUCUGUGUCCCCACCCAAAUCUUAUGUUCAAUUGUGAUCCCCAUGUGUCGGGGAGGGGCCUGGUGGGAGGUGACUGGAUCAUGGGGGUGGAUUUCCCCGUUGGUGUUCUCACGAUAGUGAGUGAGUUCUCACGAGAUCUGCUGGUUUAAAAGUGUGUGGUGCUUCCCCCUUCACUCUCUGUCUCUCUUCCCCGCUCUGCCAUGGGAAGAUGUGCCUACCUUCCCCUUCACCUUCUGCCGUGAGUGUCAGUCUCCUGAGGCUUCCCAGUCAUGCUUCCUGUACAGCCUGCAGAACUGUGAGUCCAUCAAACCUCUUUUCUUCAUAAAUUUCCCAGUCUCGGUGGUUCUUUACAGCAGUGUGAAAACAGACUAAUACAAUUAUUACCUAUUAAUUUAACAUAACAUGAUUUUAAUAUUAAGUUACUGAAAAAGAUUUUUAAGCCAGGUACAAUGGAACCUGCAAAUCUGGUAACUUAGAAGGCUGAGGCAGGAGGAUCACUUGAGCCCAGGAGUUCAAGGCUGCAAUGAGCUAUGAUUGCGCCACUGCAUUCUAACCUAGACAACA